Girardinichthys multiradiatus is the source of this 302-nucleotide long non-coding RNA. RefSeq lists it as uncharacterized. The record is from RefSeq and is a predicted model, not a curated record. The transcript has 2 exons. NCBI's taxonomy places the organism in Eukaryota, Metazoa, Chordata, Actinopteri, Cyprinodontiformes, Goodeidae.
GCCAGCUCUGAAAAACUUUGCAAGAAUUGCUGUUAAGGAUUUUUGAAGUUUUUUUUCUUUUCUGUGUGAAUUCUAACUUCCCCUGUUACCUGUUCCAGGUGCUAUUUCUGCCUGACCUGUCCCAGUCCUCCGUUGUGGUACUGGCUACUUCCUGGAAUUGGACUGAACCUGGCAAGCGGGGCUUCUUUCCUGACUCUUAUCCUCUCCCUGGCGGUUUCCCCGGAUUCUCCAUGACGAGAGAUUAGAUUCACCGCUUCUGUUGAGUUUGACCAAGUUUGCAAUAAACUUCUUUAUUUUACAAG